GACGAACACUGGCGGCGUGCUUAACACAUGCAAGUCGAACGCUGAAGCUCAGCUUGCUGGGUGGAUGAGUGGCGAACGGGUGAGUAACACGUGAGUAACCUGCCCUCUUCUUUGGGAUAACGCCCGGAAACGGGUGCUAAUACUGGAUAUUCACUGAUUCUCGCAUGGGGGUUGGUGGAAAGGUUUUUUCUGGUGGGGGAUGGGCUCGCGGCCUAUCAGCUUGUUGGUGGGGUGAUGGCCUACCAAGGCUUUGACGGGUAGCCGGCCUGAGAGGGUGACCGGUCACAUUGGGACUGAGAUACGGCCCAGACUCCUACGGGAGGCAGCAGUGGGGAAUAUUGCACAAUGGGCGAAAGCCUGAUGCAGCGACGCCGCGUGAGGGAUGGAGGCCUUCGGGUUGUAAACCUCUUUCGCUCAUGGUCAAGCCGCAGCUUUGGGUUGUGGUGAGGGUAGUGGGUAAAGAAGCGCCGGCUAACUACGUG
This 482-nucleotide ribosomal RNA is filed under the name uncultured bacterium. Its description in RNAcentral is "partial 16S ribosomal RNA". It matches the Rfam family "Bacterial small subunit ribosomal RNA", at positions 28 to 507 of the family's 1533-position model. The record is from RNAcentral.